Cinara cedri is the source of this 632-nucleotide non-coding RNA. The record is from the annotation of a GenBank genome assembly. Lineage: Eukaryota; Metazoa; Arthropoda; Insecta; Hemiptera; Aphididae.
UUUAAAUAGAUACCUAUUUAUUAAAUUAUUAUUAUGAAGUAGCAGACCCGCAGAUAUUAUAUAGGUAAUAAACAGUAAAUAGAAUCUAUAGAUAAAUAUGUAAUUUAUUUACCUAAGAAUCUACAAACCUUAACUAAGUGUAUAGUUAACAGCACGUAUACAUAUAUUAAUAUUUAUUAUAUUUAGAUACCUACUAGUGCCCUACACGGGCCGGGCUGAGCCAGUUUACUCUGUGUUAUUUAUUCAGGCCAGAAAGCCCUGUACUAAGUGACAACUCAGUUUUCCAGGCUGGGUUGGGUCAAAAAACAACUAAUUAUACGAAAUAGCCAAGCCAGGCUUACGUAUCAUUUAUAAUUCAAGCUAAUCCAAACAAAAAUUAAAUAAAUUUAAUUUUACUCUUUAACAAAUGUAAUUUUUUAAUUCGAAGGAUAGCGUGGAAUGAAUUGGUUUUACGAUAAUGUUUAUUUUUUUUUCUGUGAGCAACUUUUCUACUAGAAAUCUUGCUCCAUGUAUCAAGUGUAGCACUUUUUCUGAAAAGUUAUAUUUUGAUUUUCCAAGCGGUUUUCAUAAUAAUUCAGAAAAAUACGUAGGGAAAAAGGGAAAAUUUAGUUUUCUACUAUUUAGUUUGUAAC